AAAGUUAGUGAAGCUGCCUCCUCUGUGUUGUCUAACUCAUAGGUGCGCCACCAAUCAUAGACGGCCCCUCGAAGCUGGAAAGUAGUGAAAGUAACCCCGCUGGACUCCCAGAUACCCAUAGUACGGAGAAUGCAGUAACACUCAUCAAUAAACCCCAAGGCAUCGUUUGAUGUUAUACCACUGAACACCGGAGGACCAUAUUUCUUGAACCUCUCUAGUCUCAUCUGCUCCUCCUCGGAUGUCGCUGCCAUACCCUCGGGCUAAACUGGUGCUGCAGGCGGUGCAAGAAUAAUCUUAGGAACCUGCUCAACAUGCGCUCGCUGCUCAAGAGUGCGGGCGGCGGGAGUCUGUG
Molecule: long non-coding RNA, 352 nt
Filed under: Nicotiana benthamiana
Lineage: Eukaryota; Viridiplantae; Streptophyta; Magnoliopsida; Solanales; Solanaceae
Description: long non-coding RNA (NBEN_LNC038642)
Source: RNAcentral